Molecule: ribosomal RNA, 253 nt
Filed under: uncultured bacterium
Lineage: Bacteria
Description: partial 16S ribosomal RNA
Rfam family: Bacterial small subunit ribosomal RNA
Source: RNAcentral
UACGGGGGGGGCAAGCGUUGUUCGGAAUUACUGGGCGUAAAGGGCUCGUAGGUGGCCAACUAAGUCAGACGUGAAAUCCCUCAGCUUAACUGGGGAACUGCGUCUGAUACUGGAUGGCUUGAGUUUGGGAGAGGGAUGCGGAAUUCCAGGUGUAGCGGUGAAAUGCGUAGAUAUCUGGAGGAACACCGGUGGCGAAGGCGGCAUCCUGGACCAACACUGACACUGAUGAGCGAAAGCGUGGGGAGCAAACGGG